GACGUAGGGCGCGAGCGUUGUCCGGAUUUAUUGGGCGUAAAGGGUGCGUAGGUGGCGUGGUAAGUCGGGUGUGAAAUUUCGGAGCUUAACUCCGAAACUGCAUUCGAUACUGCCGUGCUUGAGGACUGGAGAGGAGACUGGAAUUUACGGUGUAGCAGUGAAAUGCGUAGAGAUCGUAAGGAAGACCAGUGGCGAAGGCGGGUCUCUGGACAGUUCCUGACACUGAGGCACGAAGGCCAGGGGAGCAAACGGG
RNAcentral lists this ribosomal RNA (253 nucleotides) under uncultured bacterium. RNAcentral describes it as "partial 16S ribosomal RNA". It matches the Rfam family "Bacterial small subunit ribosomal RNA", at positions 524 to 776 of the family's 1533-position model. The record is from RNAcentral.